UACGGGGGGGGCAAGCGUUGUUCGGAAUUACUGGGCGUAAAGCGUGCGCAGGCGGUUUUGUAAGCCAGAUGUGAAAUCCUCGGGCUUAACCUGGGAAUGGCAUUUGGGACUGCAAGGCUUGAGUGCGGCAGAGGAGACUGGAAUUCCUGGUGUAGCAGUGAAAUGCGUAGAUAUCAGGAGGAAUACCGAUGGCGAAGGCAGGUCUCUGGGCUGACACUGACGCUCAUGCACGAAAGCGUGGGGAGCAAACAGG
RNAcentral lists this ribosomal RNA (253 nucleotides) under uncultured bacterium. RNAcentral's name for it is "partial 16S ribosomal RNA". It matches the Rfam family "Bacterial small subunit ribosomal RNA", at positions 524 to 776 of the family's 1533-position model. The record is from RNAcentral.